Molecule: long non-coding RNA, 904 nt
Organism: Pseudophryne corroboree (corroboree frog)
Lineage: Eukaryota; Metazoa; Chordata; Amphibia; Anura; Myobatrachidae
Exons: 5
Source: RefSeq, a predicted model, not a curated record
UUCAGUUUGUCCUUUGUACAGGGUAAACAUAUCAGAAUGAUUUGUCUGUAAUGCAUCUAAACUGACAAGGAAGAAAACACAGGAUCACAGGCACAACUAAAAGGCACCUCAGGUAAACAAUGAAGAUGGAUGGAUACUAGUAUACUUAUGGAUGGACGAGCGACUGCCGACACAGAGCAGUGAUGACAGCAUGACAUCACAUACGCCGUGCCGGAAAAGGAAGCCACUGGGACCUGAGGAGGGUUUGAAUGCUGUCCAACAGACACAGCAUGUAAUUCUGCAUACAUCUUUUGCUCUGCAUAUAUGUUUCAGAUGAUCCAUAAUGUCAGAGUGCAGGAAUGGGCAUCCCCUGGCUUUAAACAUUUGAUUCAUCAUUUGAUGUGUUCCUGGUAUCAUUCAGAUCAGAAAGAUGAUCUCUGAUUUUUCAGACAAGUUACCAGACAUCAGCAUGCCGGCUGGAGGAGCCAGUUUAUUCAUGGUUACUCACUGUUUGAAGAGAGGAGCACACGGCAGGCUUUGCAGACACAGAGUAUCACAGCCUAACAGACUGCUGCAGGAUUCUUUCACACUCUGAGAGCACUAGCAGUCCAAGUUAAACUUCUUCUGACACCAUGGUUUGUUCAUAUGUUUGUAAAUCCAGUCAUGGGGACACAGAGACAUGUGAGUUCACUGCUGUGCUGUUUAUUCCAUCCCCAACUCCAAGCACACUGUACACUGGACCACCCACUUCCCAGCAUCCCCCUGGUCCCAGGGACCAUCACUGAAGAUUCAGGCUAACACAGAUUAGUAAGGGAGUGUCUACAAAUAUUAAGCAUUCUAAUACACUAACAUCACAGUGUGAAUUCAGUUCAGCGUCUUAACCAACGGACCAGUGUUCCUGAAGUGAAACGAACACGUCCUUCCC